Molecule: ribosomal RNA, 292 nt
Filed under: uncultured bacterium
Lineage: Bacteria
Description: partial 16S ribosomal RNA
Source: RNAcentral
GGACUACCGGGGUUUCUAAUCCUGUUUGCUCCCCACGCUUUCGUGCAUCAGCGUCAGUAUCGGGCCAGUGAGCCGCCUUCGCCACUGGUGUUCUUGCGAAUAUCUACGAAUUUCACCUCUACACUCGCAGUUCCACUCACCUCUCCCGAACUCAAGACUCUCAGUAUCAAAGGCAGUUCUGGAGUUGAGCUCCAGGAUUUCACCUCUGACUUAAGAACCCGCCUACGCACCCUUUACGCCCAGUGAUUCCGAGCAACGCUAGCCCCCUUCGUAUUACCGCGGCUGCUGGCAC